Molecule: ribosomal RNA, 492 nt
Filed under: uncultured bacterium
Lineage: Bacteria
Description: partial 16S ribosomal RNA
Rfam family: Bacterial small subunit ribosomal RNA
Source: RNAcentral
AGUGAACGCUGGCGGUAGGCCUAACACAUGCAAGUCGAACGGCAGCACAGUAAGAGCUUGCUCUUACGGGUGGCGAGUGGCGGACGGGUGAGGAGUACAUCGGAAUCUACUUUUUCGUGGGGGAUAACGUAGGGAAACUUACUCUAAUACCACAUACGACCUACGGUUGCAAGCAGGGAAUCUUCGGACCUUGCGCGAUACAAUGAGCCGAUGUCGGGUUAGCUAGUUGGCGGGGGAAAGGCCCACCACGGCGACGAUCCGUAGCUGGUCUGUGAGGAUGAUCAGCCACACGGGAACGGGGACACGGUCCAGACUCCUACGGGAGGCAGCAGUGGGGAAUAUUGGACAAUGGGCGCAAGCCUGACCAAGCCAUACCGCGUGGGUGAAGAAGGCCUUCGGGUGUUAAAGCCCUUUUGUUGGGAAAGAAAAGCAGCAGGUUAAUACCCCGAUGUUCUGACGGUACCCUAAGAAUAAGCAACGGCUAACUUCGUG